GGAGAUAUAGCUCAGUUGGUAGAGUACUUGCCUUGCAUGCAUAAGGCCCUGGGUUCAAUCCCCAGCACCA
This 70-nucleotide transfer RNA is filed under the name Urocitellus parryii (Arctic ground squirrel). Its description in RNAcentral is "Spermophilus parryii (Arctic ground squirrel) tRNA". It matches the Rfam family "tRNA". Rfam says of the family: Transfer RNA (tRNA) molecules are approximately 80 nucleotides in length. Their secondary structure includes four short double-helical elements and three loops (D, anti-codon, and T loops). RNAcentral also lists the same sequence under 1 other name. Lineage: Eukaryota; Metazoa; Chordata; Mammalia; Rodentia; Sciuridae. The record is from Rfam by way of RNAcentral.